UGGGGAAUUUUGGACAAUGGGCGAAANCCUGAUCCAGCAAUGCCGCGUGUGUGAAGAAGGCCUUCGGGUUGUAAAGCACUUUUGUCCGGAAAGAAAUCCUUGGCUCUAAUACAGUCGGGGGAUGACGGUACCGGAAGAAUAAGCACCGGCUAACUACGUGCCAGCAGCCGCGGUAAUACGUAGGGUGCAAGCGUUAAUCGGAAUUACUGGGCGUAAAGCGUGCNCAGGCGGUUUGCUAAGACCGAUGUGAAAUCCCCGGGCUCAACCUGGGAACUGCAUUGGUGACUGGCAGGCUAGAGUAUGGCAGAGGGGGGUAGAAUUCCACGUGUAGCAGUGAAAUGCGUAGAGAUGUGGAGGAAUACCGAUGGCGAAGGCAGCCCCCUGGGCCAAUACUGACGCUCAUGCACGAAAAGCGUGGGGAGCAAACAGGAUUAGAUACCCUGGUAGUCCACGCCCUAAACGAUGUCAACUAGUUGUGGG
RNAcentral lists this ribosomal RNA (480 nucleotides) under uncultured bacterium. RNAcentral describes it as "partial 16S ribosomal RNA". It matches the Rfam family "Bacterial small subunit ribosomal RNA", at positions 355 to 826 of the family's 1533-position model. The record is from RNAcentral.